This is a non-coding RNA of Podarcis muralis (Common wall lizard), 597 nucleotides long. The record is from RefSeq and is a predicted model, not a curated record. Lineage: Eukaryota; Metazoa; Chordata; Lepidosauria; Squamata; Lacertidae.
UUUCCGUGCACUCACUGUGGUAGGAAAACCACAGGGCAGGCUGCUGUUAUCACUCUCCCAUCAGCUAAAAAUCUGUUUUGUGCUUGCAGCCUUCUAAGAGCAAUAGAGCAUGUCCUGUUGCUUGUCUGACUGCACACUUCUCCAUCUGUGCUUGGCUUGGAUGGUUGUUUCCAGAGAGUGAUGCUUGAGGAGAGCUGUUCGGCCCUGUGGAGCCUUCAAUGGGGGGUUCCACAGGAUUCGAUUUUAUGCCACAUGCUGUUUAACAUCUGCAUGAAACCACUGAAAGGGGUUAUCUGGAGUUUUGGAGCACAUUGUCAGCAACAUGGUGAUGACAAACAGCUCUACUUCUCCUUUACAUCUGCAGGUCAAUGGGCCCUUUGUGGUUAGAAGCUGAGAAUCGUACAGCUGCUCUCCUUUGCAGAAAGAUGAAACAUGCUUCCAGCUCAAACAACACUGAUUCUGGGAGGCAAAAAUCAUUCGCAGCCACCCCUCCCCAGUUUACUUCAGGUGACUCAUUCUGCACUUGCUGGAUGGCUUGUGACUCACUACAUUGUUAGACAUGUCAGUGUGAUGGAAAAUGAUCUGCUUGAGCUCUGA